CUCUCUCUCUCUCUCUCUGUGCUCAUCACUGUCCCUCUGAGUGCGUAGCCAUGUCUCUACUUAGCGAUCUAAUCAACCUCAAUCUUUCUGAGACCACCGAGAAGAUCAUAGCUGAAUACAUCUGGAUCGGGGGUUCUGGUUUGGACUUGAGAAGCAAAGCAAGGACUCUGCCAGGACCAGCGACUGAUCCUUCCAAACUUCCCAAAUGGAACUACGAUGGCUCAAGCACAGACCAAGCCCCUGGAGAUGACAGUGAAGUCAUUCUAUACCCUCAAGCAAUCUUUAAGGAUCCCUUCAGAAGAGGAAACAAUAUCCUGGUGAUGUGCGAUGCUUACACCCCAGCCGGCGAGCCUAUUCCUACCAACAAGAGGCACAAUGCAGCCAAGAUCUUUAGCCACCCCGACGUUGUUGCCGAGGAGCCUUGGUAUGGGAUUGAGCAAGAGUACACCCUUCUCCAAAAGGAUGUUAAAUGGCCUAUUGGAUGG
RNAcentral lists this unclassified non-coding RNA (485 nucleotides) under Hevea brasiliensis (rubber tree). The record is from RNAcentral. Lineage: Eukaryota; Viridiplantae; Streptophyta; Magnoliopsida; Malpighiales; Euphorbiaceae.